UCGGCGAUCAGUGCGGGCGUGGUGCCGCGUGGCUGCUGGCCGCGCAGCCAGCGGGUCACGGACGUUUUGUCGUACC
This 76-nucleotide transfer RNA is filed under the name Streptomyces sp. S4.7. RNAcentral describes it as "tRNA-Ser". The record is from RNAcentral. Lineage: Bacteria; Bacillati; Actinomycetota; Actinomycetes; Kitasatosporales; Streptomycetaceae.